UAGAAAAUUUGGAACAUUGGACACAUUCAGCGCUUUUCGAUAUGAAAAUUAUUUAAGAAAAGUAAAACGGUUUAUUAGAAAAGCUGAACGUCCAUUGCAACAAAUCCACAAUCGUUUAACAGAAUUGAAACAUUUACUAUUCAAAGAAGAAUGUCGAAAAAUAGGUGUAUAUGGAAUACACAAUGUAGGACCUAUUUUACCCGGGAUAAAUAGUCCUCAAUAUUCAAUAUUUAUAACAGCAGAUUUUACUUUAUCUAUUCACAAACCAAAUAACUGUUGUGGAUUAAAUAAUGGCUCAAUUGUAGCAAUAAAGAAUAUUGCUACAACGACCUCUAAUAAACUUUGUAUUAUUGGUCGAGAAUUCCUUAAUUUGAGUGACUUCUAUACGGAACCGUGCAAUUCCUCUUUGUUGGGAAUAUAUAAAUCUAACGAAUAUGGAUAUUUAUCAGUUUGGCCUAUAACGUUUGUUACGACGAAAUAUGUGAAAUUUGACCUUUGCAAUUCUGCAUUUAUACUUUUACCAUUGUUACAUACAGAAAAGAUGUAAUUUUGUUCUUCAUACAUCUUGUUAAAUUUGAAGAUGGAUUACAAGUGAUACCAGAUAACUGGAUACAAAAGGAAAAAAAUGAAUGUUUAUAUCCAAAUUAUAAAACAGAUAAAGAUAUAAAUGCAGCGAUUAGAACACGACAAACACCUCAAGAUAAUUGGUUAUUAUAUCCAAUUAAACGAAUCUUUGGUACAUAUGAGUCUUACAAUGAAGCACGCAAUAAACUAAAAAAGGCUGAGAUAGAUUCUGAUAUUACGGAUACUGACAAAGCACAAAGAAAAAUUAAAGCCAGGAAAGUGAUUAGUUCCGAUGAUGAUAUUAACGAUGAUGAUGAUGAUGAUGAUGAUGAUCAUGAAAACAAUUGUCAAACUCGUUUACCAUCAUAUCCAAAAGCGUCUAAGGUUUAUAGGAAUACCAAACAUGUAGAUUCAGGUACCAAAAAGAACAUAGUAAACACUAUAUGUCAAAUAAUCGAUCAUCACUAAAUGCUUCGACUUCUCAUAAAUCAAUGUUUGCAAAACAAGCAAAACACGAUGAUAUCGAUACAUGUAAUCGAACAAUAAUGAAUGAUAUUGCCAGCAAUCGUAUUAUUCCUGCAGAAAGUUCUGCCAUCAUGCGAGAAGAUUAUGUGGAAUUGAAAAAUAAAGAAUACAUUGCAAUUAAAAAUUAUUUUCAACGUAUUGAGAGAAUGUUGAUAGAAAUAAAAUUUGACAUUAAUUGUCUAACUGAACAAUAUCAACAUAUAAAUAAUAAAUGUUUCUCAAAUGAGGCACAAGAACGUCAUAAUUCUACACCAACUGAUGAAUUAAGUGAGUUAUCCUUCCCUCUGAAAACUAUAGAAGAAGUCGAGUCACUAGAACGCAUUCUUACUUCAAACGGAGUAGGAAUAAAAGAGCAUAUGUUUAACAUAUUAGCAAUGAUUGGUGGGACUAGCUAUGAAGAAAUGUCAAAAAGGAUGCUUCUUUAUGUUUUUACGAAUGAAGUAGCUAGUAUGUACAGUUAGGUAGGAGGUAAAGGAAAACGGAAACUUCAUAAUUUCGAAAUAAUGAAAUUAAUGUUUAAAGUUGUCAGGAAGACAUUCCCUAAUGUUACAGAAAAGAAUUUUGAAAUUAAAUGCAAAGAUUGGUUCCGACACGCGAAACAAAG
RNAcentral lists this unclassified non-coding RNA (1693 nucleotides) under Harpegnathos saltator (Jerdon's jumping ant). RNAcentral's name for it is "uncharacterized LOC105187003, transcript variant X1". The record is from RNAcentral. Lineage: Eukaryota; Metazoa; Arthropoda; Insecta; Hymenoptera; Formicidae.